This 525-nucleotide ribosomal RNA is filed under the name unicellular eukaryote sp. A10. Its description in RNAcentral is "SSU rRNA". It matches the Rfam family "Eukaryotic small subunit ribosomal RNA", at positions 623 to 1147 of the family's 1831-position model. The record is from RNAcentral.
AAAGCUCGUAGUUGGAUUUCGGAAUGAUCGGUUAUGUGGUCCGCUGAAAUGGCGAGUGCUACAUCCGGUUUUCCUUCCUUGUGGUCAACUGGGCGGUGGUUUACUCCAUCGUUCCGGUCCACAUCGUUUACUUUGAGAAAAUUAGAGUGUUCAAAGCAGGCACAACCUUGCCUGAAUAUUGCAGCAUGGGAUAAUAAAACAGGACGAGAGUCCUAUUUUGUUGGUUUCUAGGGCUUUUGUAAUGAUUAAAAGGGACAGUUGGGGGCAUUAGUAUUCAGUGGUCAGAGGUGAAAUUCUAGGAUUUACUGAAGACUAACUACUGCGAAAGCAUUUGCCAAGGAUGUUUUCAUUAAUCAAGAACGAAAGUAGGGGGAUCGAAGAUGAUCAGAUACCGUCGUAGUCUCUACCAUAAACUAUGCCGACCAGGGAUUCGGAGAAGUUACGUGGAUGACUCCCCGAGCACCUUGUGAGAAAUCAUAAGUCGUUGGGUUCUGGGGGGAGUAUGGUCGCAAGGCUGAAACUUAA